GGAAACCGGAGCUAAUACCGGAUAAUAUAUUGAACCGCAUGGUUCAAUAGUGAAAGGCGGCUUUGCUGUCACUUAUAGAUGGAUCCGCGCCGUAUUAGCUAGUUGGUAAGGUAACGGCUUACCAAGGCAACGAUGCGUAGCCGACCUGAGAGGGUGAUCGGCCACACUGGAACUGAGACACGGUCCAG
RNAcentral lists this ribosomal RNA (188 nucleotides) under uncultured Staphylococcus sp. RNAcentral describes it as "partial 16S ribosomal RNA". It matches the Rfam family "Bacterial small subunit ribosomal RNA", at positions 152 to 334 of the family's 1533-position model. The record is from RNAcentral. Lineage: Bacteria; Bacillati; Bacillota; Bacilli; Caryophanales; Staphylococcaceae.